This 253-nucleotide ribosomal RNA is filed under the name uncultured bacterium. RNAcentral describes it as "partial 16S ribosomal RNA". It matches the Rfam family "Bacterial small subunit ribosomal RNA", at positions 524 to 776 of the family's 1533-position model. The record is from RNAcentral.
UACGUAGGGGGCAAGCGUUAUCCGGAUUUACUGGGUGUAAAGGGAGCGUAGACGGCAUGGCAAGUCAGAUGUGAAAGCCCGGGGCUCAACCCCGGGACUGCAUUUGAAACUGUCAGGCUGGAGUGCAGGAGAGGUAAGUGGAAUUCCUAGUGUAGCGGUGAAAUGCGUAGAUAUUAGGAGGAACACCGGUGGCGAAGGCGGCUUACUGGACUGUAACUGACGUUGAGGCUCGAAAGCGUGGGGAGCAAACAGG